GAUUGGGGAUGAUUACUUUUUAAAAGCAUUGCUAUUCAGCCAUCUCGCUCCCGUCUGGCCCCAGCAGUGCUCUGAUAGGCACAAGGGUGGCUGACACACGGCGAUGCCCCCGGUCUGUGCUCCUUGGCGAGCCCGGGGAGGGCACGUGGUUGGCAUCCCACAGCCAGUCUGUCAAGGGAUGUGAUUGCAGGAGGGUGGUACCUGGUUCUGAUCUGACUUUCACGCUGAGACC
Artibeus jamaicensis (Jamaican fruit-eating bat) is the source of this 232-nucleotide non-coding RNA. RefSeq annotates it as small Cajal body-specific RNA 6. Lineage: Eukaryota; Metazoa; Chordata; Mammalia; Chiroptera; Phyllostomidae. The record is from RefSeq and is a predicted model, not a curated record. The transcript has a single exon.